Molecule: transfer RNA, 98 nt
Filed under: Streptomyces spiralis
Lineage: Bacteria; Bacillati; Actinomycetota; Actinomycetes; Kitasatosporales; Streptomycetaceae
Description: tRNA-Ile
Source: RNAcentral
CUGGGCCUGCGGCGCGGCGAUCAGGGCGCCGACGCUGAUGGCGCCGGCCGACUGGCCGCACAGGGUGACCCGGUCGGGGUCGCCGCCGAAGGCCUCGA